RNAcentral lists this ribosomal RNA (592 nucleotides) under uncultured fungus. RNAcentral's name for it is "eukaryotic LSU rRNA". The stretch from base 226 to 379 matches the Rfam family "5.8S ribosomal RNA". The record is from RNAcentral. Lineage: Eukaryota; Fungi.
AGUCGUAACAAGGUUUCCGUAGGUGAACCUGCGGAAGGAUCAUUAAAGAGUAAGGGUGCUCAGCGCCCGACCUCCAACCCUUUGUUGUUAAAACUACCUUGUUGCUUUGGCGGGACCGCUCGGUCUCGAGCCGCUGGGGAUUCGUCCCAGGCGAGCGCCCGCCAGAGUUAAACCAAACUCUUGUUAUUUAACCGGUCGUCUGAGUUAAAAUUUUGAAUAAAUCAAAACUUUCAACAACGGAUCUCUUGGUUCUCGCAUCGAUGAAGAACGCAGCGAAAUGCGAUAAGUAAUGUGAAUUGCAGAAUUCAGUGAAUCAUCGAAUCUUUGAACGCACAUUGCGCCCCUUGGUAUUCCGAGGGGCAUGCCUGUUCGAGCGUCAUUACACCACUCAAGCUAUGCUUGGUAUUGGGUGCCGUCCUUAGUUGGGCGCGCCUUAAAGACCUCGGCGAGGCCUCACCGGCUUUAGGCGUAGUAGAAUUUAUUCGAACGUCUGUCAAAGGAGAGGACUUCUGCCGACUGAAACCUUUAUUUUUCUAGGUUGACCUCGGAUCAGGUAGGGAUACCCGCUGAACUUAAGCAUAUCUAAAAGUCG